CGACGCCAAACGUCAAGUCAUUAAAAUCGAUGCAGUAAACAACAGUUCGCCGUCCGCUGGUUCGCCGGCAAAAACUCUUAAAGCAGACCAAAUCAAUACAGAAAGGACGUGGUGCGCAUCAUCAUCGCCUGACAACAUCAACAUCAACCAAUUUGUCGACCAGUAACUGGUCGAAUGUGCGAACAGUUCCCACCGGCAGCACGGACAGUUGAUCUCCUUUGGGAACCACACGUCGACAUUUCCGGCGGAAUUGUUGCGACUACUGGGAGCACUGUUGUGAUAAAUCGAGAAAGAUGCUGCUAAGAAACUAAUUCGUUCGAAAGACAACAAAAGCGCUUCUCUAGGAGGUGCUAAAGAACAAACUGCUAAUUUCGCAAUAGAAAUUAAUGCCAAACAAGAGAUGCAAGUGCUAACAGGAAACCACGUCGGGCCACAUUGAUCGAUUGCGCCAGGAAAAUGACCGACACCGCAAGCAGGCCGAAAUAUUAUUCGCCUAAAAAGCAGUUCAAUCAACUCCAAACACCAUCG
Molecule: long non-coding RNA, 528 nt
Organism: Culex pipiens pallens (northern house mosquito)
Lineage: Eukaryota; Metazoa; Arthropoda; Insecta; Diptera; Culicidae
Exons: 3
Source: RefSeq, a predicted model, not a curated record